UGAAACCUCAUUUUUGGACAAAGGGAUCAUAACUUCAGAUUCAGAUAGCGAGGACUCAGUCACCCUUGAAUUAUGCCCCAUUGAGGAUGACAGAUCUGAUUGAUAUGUGCUGCUGUUCAUAAAAAAUGCAGGCUGAGAAGGUAUUUGCAAUGUGAGGGAAGAGCUGCUUAGCAUGAGAACUACUGAAGCCAUUGUCGGCCUUUCAGCUACAUUUUCUUGAACGCAGAGUAACCCAAUGUGGAUGCAUCUCAUCAUUUCUGUUGCUGAGCCACUACUCAAAACGGGAUCUAUCAUAUCUUGAGCAGUCCCUUCCCUCCAGUUUCUCCAUGCCUAAAAAAUUUAUCCAAAGUGAAUUCACAAUAUUGAAGGUCUUGCGGAUAUCCCUAUAAAGCCUUGAAUAACGUGUUUGAUUUGUGGAUUGUUCUAUACUUACAUGGCUCAUAAGGUGCUCUAUGUCAUUUCCAUUGCGAAAACUAUUUUUUUUACCAGUCACAAUCUCCAAAACUAGCACGCCGAAACUAAA
Populus trichocarpa (black cottonwood) is the source of this 523-nucleotide long non-coding RNA. RefSeq lists it as uncharacterized. The transcript is spliced from 2 exons. The record is from RefSeq and is a predicted model, not a curated record. NCBI's taxonomy places the organism in Eukaryota, Viridiplantae, Streptophyta, Magnoliopsida, Malpighiales, Salicaceae.